RNAcentral lists this transfer RNA (65 nucleotides) under Cryptolestes turcicus. RNAcentral's name for it is "tRNA-Gly". The record is from RNAcentral. Lineage: Eukaryota; Metazoa; Arthropoda; Insecta; Coleoptera; Laemophloeidae.
AUUUAUAUAAUAUAAAAAUUAUAUUUGACUUCCAAUCAAAAAAUCUAGAACCCCUAGUAUAAAUA